GACGAACGCUGGCGGCGUGCUUAACACAUGCAAGUCGAACGGUGAAGCUCCAGCUUGCUGGAGUGGAUCAGUGGCGAACGGGUGAGUAACACGUGAGCAACCUGCCCCUGACUCUGGAAUAAGCGCUGGAAACGGCGUCUAAUACUGGAUACGAGAAGGGUCCGCAUGGGCACUUUCUGGAAAGUUUUUCGGUUGGGGAUGGGCUCGCGGCCUAUCAGCUUGUUGGUGAGGUAUUGGCCCACCAAGGCGACGACGGGUAGCCGGCCUGAGAGGGGGACCGCCCCCCGGGGGUCUGAGCACCGCCCCGGCCCCCUCCGGAGGGACGGGGGGGGGAUUUUUCCACAGUGGGCGAAACCCGGAUGCACCCGCCCCGCGGGGGGGGUGCGGGCCUUCGGGUUGUAAACCUUUUUGAAGAGGAAAGAAGGGAAAGUGGCGGUCCCGGCAAAGAAAGCCCCGCCUACCUUCGU
This 467-nucleotide ribosomal RNA is filed under the name uncultured bacterium. Its description in RNAcentral is "partial 16S ribosomal RNA". It matches the Rfam family "Bacterial small subunit ribosomal RNA", at positions 28 to 506 of the family's 1533-position model. The record is from RNAcentral.